This 1314-nucleotide ribosomal RNA is filed under the name Haemophilus influenzae. RNAcentral's name for it is "bacterial LSU rRNA". It matches the Rfam family "Bacterial large subunit ribosomal RNA", at positions 1629 to 2925 of the family's 2925-position model. Lineage: Bacteria; Pseudomonadati; Pseudomonadota; Gammaproteobacteria; Pasteurellales; Pasteurellaceae. The record is from RNAcentral.
AGGCUUUACUAAACCGUACUGAAAACCGACACAGGUGGUCAGGUAGAGAAUACUCAGGCGCUUGAGAGAACUCGGGUGAAGGAACUAGGCAAAAUAGCACCGUAACUUCGGGAGAAGGUGCGCUUACAGUAAUUGUAGUCCCUUACGGAUGAAGGUGAAGUAAGUCGAAGUGACCCGCUGGCUGCAACUGUUUAUUAAAAACACAGCACUCUGCAAACACGAAAGUGGACGUAUAGGGUGUGAUGCCUGCCCGGUGCUGGAAGGUUAAUUGAUGGUGUAAUCGCAAGAGAAGCACCUGAUCGAAGCCCCAGUAAACGGCGGCCGUAACUAUAACGGUCCUAAGGUAGCGAAAUUCCUUGUCGGGUAAGUUCCGACCUGCACGAAUGGCAUAAUGAUGGCCAGGCUGUCUCCACCCGAGACUCAGUGAAAUUGAAAUCGCCGUGAAGAUGCGGUGUACCCGCGGCUAGACGGAAAGACCCCGUGAACCUUUACUAUAGCUUGACACUGAACAUUGAAUUUUGAUGUGUAGGAUAGGUGGGAGACUUAGAAGUAGUCACGCCAGUGAUUAUGGAGUCGACCUUGAAAUACCACCCUUUAACGUUUGAUGUUCUAACGAAGAUGACGAAACGUGGUCUCGGACAGUGUCUGGUGGGUAGUUUGACUGGGGCGGUCUCCUCCCAAAGCGUAACGGAGGAGCACGAAGGUUUGCUAAUCACGGUCGGACAUCGUGAGGUUAGUGCAAUGGUAUAAGCAAGCUUAACUGCGAGACAGACAAGUCGAGCAGGUACGAAAGUAGGUCAUAGUGAUCCGGUGGUUCUGAAUGGAAGGGCCAUCGCUCAACGGAUAAAAGGUACUCCGGGGAUAACAGGCUGAUACCGCCCAAGAGUUCAUAUCGACGGCGGUGUUUGGCACCUCGAUGUCGGCUCAUCACAUCCUGGGGCUGAAGUAGGUCCCAAGGGUAUGGCUGUUCGCCAUUUAAAGUGGUACGCGAGCUGGGUUUAGAACGUCGUGAGACAGUUCGGUCCCUAUCUGCCGUGGGCGUAGGAGAAUUGGUUGGGGCUGCUCCUAGUACGAGAGGACCGGAGUGGACGCACCACUGGUGUUCCGGUUGUGUCGCCAGACGCAUUGCCGGGUAGCUAAGUGCGGAAGAGAUAAGUGCUGAAAGCAUCUAAGCACGAAACUUGCCAAGAGAUGAGUUCUCCCAAUCUAAGAGAUAGUAAGGGUUGUUGUAGACUACGACGUAGAUAGGUCUGGUGUGUAAGUGUAGUGAUACAUUGAGCUAACAGAUACUAAUUGCCCGAGAGGCUUAACUAU